GCUGCGGGGUUAGAAAGCUCAUAGUUGGAUUCGUAUCGAUACCUUGGAACCCUUCGGGUGUCUCUAGGUGUUAUCGAUUUAUCGUAAUGUUCGGUUUUGAGUCCUUAACAGGAUUCUUAACAGGCAUUGCAAGUUUACUUUGAACAAAUCAGAGUGCUUCAAACAGGCGUUUUCGCUUGAAUGAUCGUGCAUGGAAUAAUAGAAAAUGAUUUCGGUUCAGUUUUAUUGGUUUUACGGACUGAGAUAAUGGUUAACAGAGACAAACGGGGGCAUUUGUAUGGUCCCGUGAGAGGUGAAAUUCUUGGACCGUGGCCAGACAAACUACAGCGAAAGCAUUUGCCAAGAAUGUUUUUAUUAAUCAAGAACGAAAGUCAGAGGUUCGAAGGCGAUCAGAUACCGCCCUAGUUCUGACCGUAAACGAUGCCAACUAGCGAUCCGCCGAUGGAAAUUAUAUUGCCUUGGUGGGGAGCUUCCCGGAAACGAAAGUCUUCCGGUUCCGGGGGAAGUAUGGUUGCAAAGCUGAAACUUAAAGGAAUUGACGGAAGGGCACCACCAGGAGUGGAGCCUGCGGCUUAAUUUGACUCAACACGGGGAAACUCACCCGGCCCGGACACUGUGAGGAUUGACAGAUUGAUAGCUUUUUCAUGAUUCAGUGGAUGGUGGUGCAUGGCCGUUCUUAUUUAAAA
This 686-nucleotide ribosomal RNA is filed under the name Nematoda environmental sample. RNAcentral's name for it is "SSU rRNA". It matches the Rfam family "Eukaryotic small subunit ribosomal RNA", at positions 612 to 1303 of the family's 1831-position model. Lineage: Eukaryota; Metazoa; Nematoda. The record is from RNAcentral.